Molecule: non-coding RNA, 172 nt
Organism: Salvia hispanica
Lineage: Eukaryota; Viridiplantae; Streptophyta; Magnoliopsida; Lamiales; Lamiaceae
Source: RefSeq, a predicted model, not a curated record
AGAAAACAUAUAAAUGUUUCUAGGUCAUGUUGUUGCUCAUGGACCUUUUAGGGAGGAACGACUCCCCUGUUUUGGUGUUGGUCUUGGAUGGCUCUUGUUUAUUACUAGUUUCUUUCUGGGUGCAAUCCCCUGGUAUAUAGGAGCUUUUCUACUGCUAUGUGUCCGUAUGGAU